Molecule: ribosomal RNA, 497 nt
Filed under: uncultured bacterium
Lineage: Bacteria
Description: partial 16S ribosomal RNA
Rfam family: Bacterial small subunit ribosomal RNA
Source: RNAcentral
GAUGAACGCUGGCGGCGUGCCUAAUACAUGCAAGUCGAGCGAACAGACGAGGCGCUUGCUCCUUUGACGUUAGCGGCGGACGGGUGAGUAACACGUGGAUAACCUACCUAUAAGACUGGGAUAACUUCGGGAAACCGGAGCUAAUACCGGAUAACAUGUUGAACCGCAUGGUUCAACAGUGAAAGACGGUCUUGCUGUCACUUAUAGAUGGAUCCGCGCCGCAUUAGCUAGUUGGUAAGGUAACGGCUUACCAAGGCAACGAUGCGUAGCCGACCUGAGAGGGGGGUAGGCCACACUGGAACGGAGACACGGUCCAGACUCCUAAGGGAGGCAGCAGUAGGGAAUCUGCCGCAAUGGGCGAAAGCCUGACGGAGCAACGCCGCGUGAGUGAAGAAGGUCUUCGGAUCGUAAAACUCUGUUAUUAGGGAAGAACAAAUGUGUAAGUAACUAUGCACGUCUUGACGGUACCUAAUCAGAAAGCCACGGCUAACUACGUG